This is a long non-coding RNA of Fukomys damarensis (Damara mole-rat), 947 nucleotides long. RefSeq lists it as uncharacterized. The transcript has 2 exons. The record is from RefSeq and is a predicted model, not a curated record. Lineage: Eukaryota; Metazoa; Chordata; Mammalia; Rodentia; Bathyergidae.
AAAGGAAAAGUAUGUCAUAAGCUAUUAGCAAAUCAAAUUCAAAUUUACCUAAAUCACAAACUGUCAAUUAAAGAUUGCUCAGUUGCUCUCAGGAAAGACUCAGUAAGGGGCUCUAACUUAACAGCUCUUUGGGGUUUCAUUUACAUGCACUAAUGAAGUUCAGCAAAUAGCAACAACAGGCAUGAACAUUUCAUUACAAUAGAAUUCAUGGCAUUUGUUUUUUCUUACAUUUUGAAAGUGCUAAGUCAUAAGAAGAACCUUAGCUUUUAGUAUGAUUUAAAACCCUCUCAAUUACACUGAACAUUUUUCUAUUUCAGAAAAUACCAAAAACAGCUGAAUUUCGUUUUCAAGUUUACGGAAAAGUCCGACUGAUAACUUGUUUUAAGAGCAAUCUGAAAGCCAGGUAACACCGAUGACACAACCAUGGAGGCCACACCCAUGGUGCCGAAGUGCUGGAAGCACACAUCUGCCUCCACAAGCACCAAAAAAGGCCCGCAAAUCACAGGUACUUGCAGUUAAAAAACGAUGAAUUCCAGGAAGAAUCCCUCAAUCUUAUACUCCACUCUGUGCUGAGUGGUGAGACCCAGCUGCUCCCUGUCCUCUGACCCAUCCCUUCAUCCAGGACAAACAUGCUGCACAUGGCCUACUCAGCAGUCACCUAGUAGCAGCCCUGGUUGUCAAACUAUUACAGCAAGAGUGUCUGUGUUUGAACCCCUUAUUUCACAAAAUAAGGGCCUAAGAAAACAACAGCGAGGAUGCUAGCAAUUCCAACAUGCCAGAGAAGCUGCAACAUGCUGAAGUGAAAAGGUCUAAGUUCUCAACCUAAUGACCAAAGAAAAAAGCUGCACACCAAAGCUGCUAACAUCUAUACUAAGAACAAAACUUCUAAUGAAAUUCUGAAGCAAGAAAUUCAUGGUAGUUUCACUGCUGCACCUGAAAUCGGAAAA